Molecule: ribosomal RNA, 227 nt
Filed under: uncultured bacterium
Lineage: Bacteria
Description: partial 16S ribosomal RNA
Rfam family: Bacterial small subunit ribosomal RNA
Source: RNAcentral
UACGUAGGGUGCAAGCGUUAAUCGGAAUUACUGGGCGUAAAGCGUGCGCAGGCGGUGAUGUAAGACAGGUGUGAAAUCCCCGGGCUUAACCUGGGGAACUGCAUUUGUGACUGCAUCGCUGGAGUGCGGCAGAGGGGGGAUGGAAUUCCGCGUGUAGCAGUGAAAUGCGUAGAUAUGCGGAGGAACACCGAUGGCGAAGGCAAUCCCCCUGGGCCUGCACUGACUCA